GUGGUCAUGGAGGUUGGAGAAACCCAUUAACUUCUUUAUUUCUAUACGAUCUCCCUACCUUGGAUGGCAAUGUUAGGCUGUUAGAACUGAGGGAUGGAGCACUGCUGAAUACAUCAGAACCUCUAGUUGAUUUGCAGUGUUGUGUGUUAGGAGCUAGAUACAUUAGGACUAAUGUCAAUUCUGUGCAUAUUUUACAUCCGUCAUCAGCGCGCACUGCAUAAGAAGAGUCUGCAAGGGGAAGAUAUUGUCUCUUCUCCCUCCUCCCUAUCCCCUCCAUAAUAUUUUUUAAUGCCCCCCCUCCUCCUUCAUUCCCUCCCUCUCCCCCUCCCUUUGCUAGCCCUUUACACACACAUGUGCUGGUAAAAUUGGACCUUGGUGCGGCUCCCAUGACGUUAGACGGGGGUGUGCUGAGCAGUGAUGGGGAGCUUCACCUAGAGCUGGGUUAAGGUAAGUAAACUUUAUUUUAUGUAGCAGGGAACCUAUAGAAUAAUGCCAACAUUAUUAAAUUCUACUUGAAUUGAGAAAGGGUGGAGAAAUCUUUUAAACUUAUAAAUGAUUUAGGUGGAUGAAGAUUAUUGAUGCUGGGAGAAACCCAGUUUUAUCUCAAAGACUCGGCAGUGGUUUAACAAAUGAAACGGGGUGGGGGCACCCAAAAACCUGUUAGGCGCAUAUACACUGUUGUUCAGUAAAGUGAGAAUUCAAAGUGAGCUUUAACAGUCAAGACAAAAUAGCCAAACAGGAAACAUUCUCUAAGUCUGCUAUGCUUCCAAUUUAGCUACUUUGGUCUUAAAUUUGAAAUUCACUUUGAAUUCUCAUGUCAGUGAAAAGCACUGAUAGUGUUCUUUUCAUUUGACAAUACUACUGUGUGUACAAGCUGAGAUAUAAAGCAUUUUCAGCAGAUGGAAAUCGAC
Molecule: non-coding RNA, 911 nt
Organism: Pelobates cultripes (western spadefoot toad)
Lineage: Eukaryota; Metazoa; Chordata; Amphibia; Anura; Pelobatidae
Source: the annotation of a GenBank genome assembly